This 339-nucleotide unclassified non-coding RNA is filed under the name soil metagenome. Its description in RNAcentral is "partial contains 5.8S ribosomal RNA, internal transcribed spacer 2, and large subunit ribosomal RNA". The stretch from base 1 to 120 matches the Rfam family "5.8S ribosomal RNA", at positions 35 to 154 of the family's 154-position model. The record is from RNAcentral.
GAUGAAGAACGUGGCGAAAUGCGAUACGUAGUGUGAAGUGCAGAAUUCAGUGAAUCAUCGAAUCUUUGAACGCACAUUGCACCUCUCGGUAUUCCGGGAGGUAUGCCUGUUCGAGCGUCAUUUGUACCCUCAAGCUCUGCUUGGUGUUGGGUGUUUGUUCCGCCUCUGUGUGUGAACUCGCCUCAAAACAAUUGGCAGCCGGCGUACUUGUUUCGGAGCGCAGCACAUUUUGCGAUCCAGAUCAACGUACAGCGGCAUCCAAGAAGCCUUAUUUAACGCUCUUGACCUCGGAUCAGGUAGGGAUACCCGCUGAACUUAAGCAUAUCAAUAAGCGGAGGA